Molecule: unclassified non-coding RNA, 219 nt
Filed under: uncultured fungus
Lineage: Eukaryota; Fungi
Description: sequence contains ITS1, 5.8S rRNA gene
Source: RNAcentral
UUAAUAUUUGUUUUAAACAGAUUCAGACAGAUGACAUGGUAAUGCAAGAGUUUAUUGUAUACCUCCCGCAAGGACUCUCCAAAGAUAAAUCUUCAAAGGGCCGUGAGGACAGCCUCGCGGAAGCAACGGGUAAGGUACUCGGAAUGGGUUAAUGAUGUACAUUCAGAUGAAUAUGCAUUAUAACUUUUAAUGAUCCUUCCGCAGGUUCACCUACGGAAA